ACGUAGGGGGCAAGCGUUGUUCGGAAUUAUUGGGCGUAAAGGGCGCGUAGGCGGAAUGAUAAGUCAGAUGUGAAAGCCCUGGGCUUAACCCAGGAAGUGCAUUUGAAACUGUCAAUCUAGAGUAUGGGAGAGGGAAGCGGAAUUCCUGGUGUAGAGGUGAAAUGCGUAGAUAUCAGGAGGAACACCGGUGGCGAAGGCGGCUUCCUGGCCCUAUACUGACGCUGAGACGCGAAAGCGAGGGCAGCAAACAG
Molecule: ribosomal RNA, 251 nt
Filed under: uncultured prokaryote
Description: partial 16S rRNA
Rfam family: Bacterial small subunit ribosomal RNA
Source: RNAcentral